AUCUAACAGGAUUCCCCUAGUAACUGCGAGUGAAGCGGGAAAAGCUCAAAUUUAAAAUCUGGUGGCCUUUGGUCAUCCGAGUUGUAAUUUAGAGAAGCGUCUUCCGCGCUGGACCGUGCACAAGUCUCCUGGAAUGGAGCGUCAUAGAGGGUGAGAAUCCCGUCUUUGGCACGGACCCCAGGGCUUCUGUGAUGCGCUCUCGAAGAGUCGAGUUGUUUGGGAAUGCAGCUCAAAAUGGGUGGUGAACUCCAUCUAAAGCUAAAUAUUGGCGAGAGACCGAUAGCGAACAAGUACCGUGAGGGAAAGAUGAAAAGCACUUUGGAAAGAGAGUGAAACAGUACGUGAAAUUGUUGAAAGGGAAACGCUUGAAGUCAGUCGCGUCGCCCGAGACUCAGCCUUGCCUCGGCUUGGUGUAUUUCUCGGCUGACGGGUCAGCAUCAAUUUUGCCCCUCGGAUAAUGGCAAGGGAAAUGUGACACCUUUACGGGUGUGUUAUAGUCCCGCGUCGCAUGCGAGGGUCGGGAUUGAGGAACUCAGCACGCGCUUCGGCGUCGGGGUUUUUGCCCACGAUACGUGCUUAGGAUGUUGGCGUAAUGGCUUUAAACGACCCGUCUUGAAACACGGACCAAGGAGUCUAACAUGCCCGCGAGUGUUCGGGUGGAAAACCCGUGCGCGCAAUGAAAGUGAAAGUUGGGACCUCUGUCGUGGAGGGCACCGACGCCCGGACCAGACCUUCUGUGACGGAUCUGCGGUGGAGCGUGUAUGUUAGGACCCGAAAGAUGGUGAACUAUGCCUGAAUAGGGUGAAGCCAGAGGAAACUCUGGUGGAGGCUCGUAGCGAUUCUGACGUGCAAAUCGAUCGUCAAAUUUGGGUAUAGGGGCGAAAGACUAAUCGAACCAUC
This 900-nucleotide ribosomal RNA is filed under the name Russula chiui. RNAcentral's name for it is "partial large subunit ribosomal RNA". It matches the Rfam family "Eukaryotic large subunit ribosomal RNA", at positions 63 to 944 of the family's 3401-position model. The record is from RNAcentral. Lineage: Eukaryota; Fungi; Basidiomycota; Agaricomycetes; Russulales; Russulaceae.